This 59-nucleotide transfer RNA is filed under the name Camaena cicatricosa. Its description in RNAcentral is "tRNA-His". The record is from RNAcentral. Lineage: Eukaryota; Metazoa; Mollusca; Gastropoda; Stylommatophora; Camaenidae.
UAAUACAUAAGAUAUUUAAUCUGCUGACUUGUGGGGUCAAUAAACCAUAAUGGUGUGUU